RNAcentral lists this ribosomal RNA (2041 nucleotides) under Escherichia coli. Its description in RNAcentral is "partial 23S ribosomal RNA". It matches the Rfam family "Bacterial large subunit ribosomal RNA", at positions 911 to 2925 of the family's 2925-position model. Lineage: Bacteria; Pseudomonadati; Pseudomonadota; Gammaproteobacteria; Enterobacterales; Enterobacteriaceae. The record is from RNAcentral.
UGUUUCGGCAAGGGGGUCAUCCCGACUUACCAACCCGAUGCAAACUGCGAAUACCGGAGAAUGUUAUCACGGGAGACACACGGCGGGUGCUAACGUCCGUCGUGAAGAGGGAAACAACCCAGACCGCCAGCUAAGGUCCCAAAGUCAUGGUUAAGUGGGAAACGAUGUGGGAAGGCCCAGACAGCCAGGAUGUUGGCUUAGAAGCAGCCAUCAUUUAAAGAAAGCGUAAUAGCUCACUGGUCGAGUCGGCCUGCGCGGAAGAUGUAACGGGGCUAAACCAUGCACCGAAGCUGCGGCAGCGACACUAUGUGUUGUUGGGUAGGGGAGCGUUCUGUAAGCCUGUGAAGGUGUACUGUGAGGUAUGCUGGAGGUAUCAGAAGUGCGAAUGCUGACAUAAGUAACGAUAAAGCGGGUGAAAAGCCCGCUCGCCGGAAGACCAAGGGUUCCUGUCCAACGUUAAUCGGGGCAGGGUGAGUCGACCCCUAAGGCGAGGCCGAAAGGCGUAGUCGAUGGGAAACAGGUUAAUAUUCCUGUACUUGGUGUUACUGCGAAGGGGGGACGGAGAAGGCUAUGUUGGCCGGGCGACGGUUGUCCCGGUUUAAGCGUGUAGGCUGGUUUUCCAGGCAAAUCCGGAAAAUCAAGGCUGAGGCGUGAUGACGAGGCACUACGGUGCUGAAGCAACAAAUGCCCUGCUUCCAGGAAAAGCCUCUAAGCAUCAGGUAACAUCAAAUCGUACCCCAAACCGACACAGGUGGUCAGGUAGAGAAUACCAAGGCGCUUGAGAGAACUCGGGUGAAGGAACUAGGCAAAAUGGUGCCGUAACUUCGGGAGAAGGCACGCUGAUAUGUAGGUGAAGUCCCUCGCGGAUGGAGCUGAAAUCAGUCGAAGAUACCAGCUGGCUGCAACUGUUUAUUAAAAACACAGCACUGUGCAAACACGAAAGUGGACGUAUACGGUGUGACGCCUGCCCGGUGCCGGAAGGUUAAUUGAUGGGGUCAGCGCAAGCGAAGCUCUUGAUCGAAGCCCCGGUAAACGGCGGCCGUAACUAUAACGGUCCUAAGGUAGCGAAAUUCCUUGUCGGGUAAGUUCCGACCUGCACGAAUGGCGUAAUGAUGGCCAGGCUGUCUCCACCCGAGACUCAGUGAAAUUGAACUCGCUGUGAAGAUGCAGUGUACCCGCGGCAAGACGGAAAGACCCCGUGAACCUUUACUAUAGCUUGACACUGAACAUUGAGCCUUGAUGUGUAGGAUAGGUGGGAGGCUUGGAAGUGUGGACGCCAGUCUGCAUGGAGCCGACCUUGAAAUACCACCCUUUAAUGUUUGAUGUUCUAACGUUGACCCGUAAUCCGGGUUGCGGACAGUGUCUGGUGGGUAGUUUGACUGGGGCGGUCUCCUCCUAAAGAGUAACGGAGGAGCACGAAGGUUGGCUAAUCCUGGUCGGACAUCAGGAGGUUAGUGCAAUGGCAUAAGCCAGCUUGACUGCGAGCGUGACGGCGCGAGCAGGUGCGAAAGCAGGUCAUAGUGAUCCGGUGGUUCUGAAUGGAAGGGCCAUCGCUCAACGGAUAAAAGGUACUCCGGGGAUAACAGGCUGAUACCGCCCAAGAGUUCAUAUCGACGGCGGUGUUUGGCACCUCGAUGUCGGCUCAUCACAUCCUGGGGCUGAAGUAGGUCCCAAGGGUAUGGCUGUUCGCCAUUUAAAGUGGUACGCGAGCUGGGUUUAGAACGUCGUGAGACAGUUCGGUCCCUAUCUGCCGUGGGCGCUGGAGAACUGAGGGGGGCUGCUCCUAGUACGAGAGGACCGGAGUGGACGCAUCACUGGUGUUCGGGUUGUCAUGCCAAUGGCACUGCCCGGUAGCUAAAUGCGGAAGAGAUAAGUGCUGAAAGCAUCUAAGCACGAAACUUGCCCCGAGAUGAGUUCUCCCUGACUCCUUGAGAGUCCUGAAGGAACGUUGAAGACGACGACGUUGAUAGGCCGGGUGUGUAAGCGCAGCGAUGCGUUGAGCUAACCGGUACUAAUGAACCGUGAGGCUUAACCUUACAAC